UAUAAGAUACAGGAUCAAGUUACAGUCAUAGAAGAAAAACUUUACUGAGAGAGCACCAUGAGGAGUUUGUGCUUGACUCUGGGGCUGCUGCUGCUGCUCUCCAUCUACUGCUCUGGACAGAUGAUUGGUUCACUGUGCUGCUUCAAUGUUCAAGAUCGCCGUCUGCCAAUAAGACUUGUGGCUGGAAUAAAGAGGACCCACAACUCUUGCCCACGGAAAGCAUUCAUAGUCGAGACUACUACUGGAAAACACAUCUGCUACAGUGAGACUUCUCGAUGGAUUCAACGAAUCUUACCUAAAUUCAUCAAAACUGAAGACGGUGGUCAGCCACAUACCCUGAUAACAUUGGGUGAAGACUAAAAUAAUCAAUCAAUGAACACAACAAAAACUUACUGAAAAUUAUGUUAAUUCUUUUCAGCCUUGUUUAUUGUUCAGUAUUGGUAACUGUGUACGUUAUAUUAUUCUGAGUAAAAUGUAAAUUGUAUUUUUGCAUCAAGUUUUUCUUUCCUCAUAAGUGUAAGAAUGUUUAAUGACCAUAAGCAGUGAAAUAAUUAGGUUUAUACAAGUAACAGCAAAUUAGAUCUACUUAAAAAAAAAAAAGUUUCCUUCGCUCGAUGUUCAGUUUACAUAUUUGUACUGAAAAAAUAACCGAGAUUAAUAGUGGAAAUUAUUUCCCUACAGUCGGUGAUGUUACUUAUACAUUUUAAGCUAAAAGAUAUGACUUCAUCCUUAAAUUUAAAAAAUGUAAAUGUGAUUGAUCUUUGCUGGUUAUGAAAAACAUGAUUUUAAAAUGUUCCAGUCAGCUUGUCGAGACAUCCAGAAUCAACUUUCUUUGUCUCGGGUUUAGUCCCUGAUGAAGUGAACUCUGUACUUGUCACAUGCAGAUAUUUGGCCAGGAAUCCAAAAGUCAUGUUUUGUUUCCUUCACAGAGCCAUUCAUUACAAGAGCCAUUUGUAAAUGCCCUCACAAUUGAGAAAUUGAAACACCACCAGCAUUUCAUACAGCUGACACAAGUACGACAACAGAAACACGCAAGAUAAACAUUAGGAUAUUAAAGUCUUUUUUUUCAGUUUUUUCAGUUUUCAGAGUUGAUAAUAAUGCCUUUUAUGACAUGAUAGAUACUGAACAUAUCAAUACAAAGGCAUCAUCUUCGUUGUAUUUUGCUGUCAAAAGAAUUUUAUUUUCAAAAAGGUCAAACCAAUGCCACAUUUAUAGACACAGUUGAUUUAUGUUGAGAAUAAAAAAUUUGAAUCUAUGUUAAACAGUUAAGAACUAAAUGAGACUGCAGACAAGAUCUUUCAUUACAGAGACUCAUUUUUCCCUGGAUUGUGCUACAAAGAAAUGCAACCUCUUUGGCUUUCCAGACAGACUGUAAUUUCUCAGCAUGCAGGGCGUGUCCCAGCAGGGAGGACUCAUCAUUCCAGGGAAACAUCAAAUUAGUGGACAAAGGUUUUGAAUACUGAAUGUUGACUUUAUUGCUUAACCAUUAUAUCAACAUAUUCUGCGUUUAUAAUCAAGUACUUUUCAUGCCAAACAAAGUAAUAAUCAAAUAAAAGAUGAAAAACUGAA
Cololabis saira (Pacific saury) is the source of this 1569-nucleotide long non-coding RNA. RefSeq lists it as uncharacterized. The record is from RefSeq and is a predicted model, not a curated record. The transcript is spliced from 3 exons. NCBI's taxonomy places the organism in Eukaryota, Metazoa, Chordata, Actinopteri, Beloniformes, Belonidae.